This 2901-nucleotide ribosomal RNA is filed under the name seawater metagenome. RNAcentral's name for it is "bacterial LSU rRNA". It matches the Rfam family "Bacterial large subunit ribosomal RNA". The record is from RNAcentral.
UUCAAGAAUCAAGGGCUUAUGAGGGAUACCUAGGCAUUCAGAAGCGAUGAAGGACGUGGCUACCUACGAUAAGCUUCGGGUAGCUGGAAGCAAGCUGUGAUCCGAAGAACUCCGAAUGAGGAAACUCUUAAAACUCCUUGUUGAAUACAUAGACAAGAAAGAGCAAACCUGGGGAAUUGAAACAUCUUAGUACCCGGAGGAAAAGAAAGUAAACUACGAUUACCUUAGUAGCGGCGAGCGAAAUGGUAAGGACGCCUAAACUAAUUUUAUUAGGGUUGUUGGGACAGCGAAUAAAAAAAACGUUAGGAGAAGUAUUUGGAAUAAUACACCAUAGAAAGUGAAAGUCUUGUACCUUAAAACAAUAUAAACUUACUGUAUCCCGAGUAGCAUGGAGCACGUGUAAUUCCGUGUGAAUCAGCGAGGACCACCUCGCAAGGCUGAAUAUUCCUGAAUGACCGAUAGUGAACCAGUACCGUGAGGGAAAGGUGAAAAGAACCCCGGGAGGGGAGUGAAAUAGAACAUGAAAUCAUAAGCUUACAAGCAGUAGGAGGACGACUUAACGUUUGACUACGUUCCUGUUGAAGAAUGAGCCGGCGACUUAUAGGGAAUGGCAUGGUUAAAAUUAUAUUGGAGCCGUAGCGAAAGCGAGUUUGAAUUAGAGCGUUUGUCAUUUUUUAUAGACCCGAACCCGGAUGAUCUAACCAUGGCCAGGUUGAAACUUAGGUAAUACUAAUUGGAGGACCGAACCGACUGAUGUUGAAAAAUCAGCGGAUGAGUUGUGGUUAGGGGUGAAAUGCCAAUCGAAUCCGGAGCUAGCUGGUUCUCCCCGAAAUGUGUUUAGGCGCAGCGGUUAAUUUUGUAUUUUAGGGGUAAAGCACUGUUUCGAUGCGGGCCGGUAAUUCGGUACCAAAUCGAGGCAAACUAAGAAUACUAAAAUAUCUUUUAACCAGUAAGACUGUGGGGGAUAAGCUCCAUUGUCAAGAGGGAAACAGCCCAGACCACCAGCUAAGGCCCCUAAAUAAUUACUAAGUGAUAAAGGAAGUAGAAGUGCUUAGACAACCAGGAGGUUUGCUUAGAAGCAGCAAUCCUUUAAAGAAUGCGUAAUAGCUCACUGGUCGAGUAAAUUUGCGCCGAAAAUGUAUGGGGCUAAGUAAUUUGCCGAAGCUGUGGGAUAUCUAUAUUAUAAAUAUCGGUAGGGGAGCGUUCUGUUAUAGGUUGAAGCAUUAGCGAAAGCGGGUGUGGACGAAACAGAAGUGAGAAUGUCGGCUUGAGUAGCGAAAACAUUGGUGAGAAUCCAAUGCCCCGAAAACCUAAGGUUUCCUUCGGAAGGCUCGUCCGCGGAGGGUAAGUCAGGACCUAAGGCGAGGCUGAGAAGCGUAGUCGAUGGACAACAGGUUAAUAUUCCUGUACUAUUAAUAAUCAAGUAAGGGCAAGGAGUGACGGAGCAGGCUAAGCUAGCCGGAUUCUGGUUACCGGUUUAAACGUUCUAAGUGUUGAUAAAUAGAGAAAAUAUUUUGAGCUGAGACGUGAAUACGUUAUGCUACGGCAUUUAAGUAGUUGAUGUCAUACUUCCAAGAAAAGCUUCCACUGUCGAAUUAUUAAUACCUGUACUGUAAACCGACACAGGUGGGUAAGUAGAGAAUACUAAGGGGCGCGAGAUAACUCUCUCUAAGGAACUCGGCAAAAUAGCCCCGUAACUUUGGGAGAAGGGGUACCUUGAGAAAGGUUGCAAUAAUCAGGUCCAAGCGACUGUUUACCAAAAACACAGGUCUCCGCUAAGUCGUAAGACGAUGUAUGGGGGCUGACGCCUGCCCAGUGCCGGAAGGUUAAAGAAGUCGGUUUUUGCUGAUAACUGAAGCCCCGGUGAACGGCGGCCGUAACUAUAACGGUCCUAAGGUAGCGAAAUUCCUUGUCGGGUAAGUUCCGACCCGCACGAAAGGUGUAACGAUCUGGAUACUGUCUCAGAGAGAGACUCGGUGAAAUAAAACUAUCUGUGAAGAUGCGGAUUACCUGCACACGGACAGAAAGACCCUAUGAAGCUUUACUGUAACCUGGAAUUGCUCUCAAGCUUAUCUUGCGCAGCUUAGGUGGGAGGCUAUGAACCUUUUCUUCUGGGAAGAGGGGAGCCAUCAGUGAGAUACCACUCUUGGUAAGCUAGAGCGCUCAGUCUUCACCGUCAUCCGGUAAGACGACAGUUUCAGGCGGGCAGUUUGACUGGGGCAGUCACCUCCCAAAAGGUAAUGGAGGUGUGCAAAGGUUCCCUCAGGCUGGACGGAAAUCAGCCAUAGAGUGUAAAAGCAAAAGGGAGCUUGACUGCGAGACUGACAUGUCAAGCAGAGACGAAAGUCGGCUUUAGUGAUCCGACGGUGCUGUGUGGAAAGGCCGUCGCUCAACGGAUAAAAGUUACUCUAGGGAUAACAGGCUAAUCUCCCCCAAGAGUUCACAUCGACGGGGAGGUUUGGCACCUCGAUGUCGGCUCGUCGCAUCCUGGAGCGGAAGUACGUUCCAAGGGUUGGGCUGUUCGCCCAUAGAAAGCGGCACGCGAGCUGGGUUCAGAACGUCGUGAGACAGUUUGGUCCAUAUCCUGUGUAGGCGUUUAGAGCAUUGAAAGGAUCUCCCCUUUGUACGAGAGGACCAGGUGGGGACAGACCGCUAGUGUACCAGUUAUCCCACCAGGGGUAAACGCUGGGUAGCUAUGUCUGGAGUAAAUAACUGCUGAAAGCAUAUAAGUAGGAAGUUCACCUUAAGAUGAGUGCUCUUUUGUCUCAACCGUUCAGUUUUACUGACAAAUGAAAGACAAGGAAGGUCACGGCAAGACGAGCCGUUUGAUAGGCAUGAAGUAGAAGUGCAGUAAUGCAUUCUGAAGCUGACAUGUGCUAAUAGACCGAGGGAUUUGAUUUU